RNAcentral lists this ribosomal RNA (465 nucleotides) under uncultured bacterium. RNAcentral's name for it is "partial 16S ribosomal RNA". It matches the Rfam family "Bacterial small subunit ribosomal RNA", at positions 339 to 795 of the family's 1533-position model. The record is from RNAcentral.
CUACGGGUGGCUGCAGUGGGGAAUAUUGGACAAUGGGGGAAACCCUGAUCCAGCAAUGCCGCGUGUGUGAAGAAGGCCUGCGGGUUGUAAAGCACUUUCGGUUGGGAGGACUGCUUCUAGCACUAAUAUUGUUGGAAGUUGACGUUACCUUCAGAAGAAGCACCGGCUAACUCAGUGCCAGCAGCCGCGGUAAUACUGAGGGUGCAAGCGUUAAUCGGAAUUACUGGGCGUAAGGCGCGCGUAGGUGGUUAGAUCAGUUGGGUGUGAAAGCCCCGGGCUCAACCUGGGAACUGCAUCCGAUACUGUCUAGCUUGAGUACAGGAGAGGAGAGUGGAAUUCCACAUGUAGCGGUGAAAUGCGUAGAUAUGUGGAGGAACACCAAUGGCGAAGGCAGCUCUCUGGCCUGAUACUGACGCUGAGGUGCGAAAGCGUGGGGAGCAAACAGGAUUAGAUACCCUCGUAGUC